UACGUAGGGUGCGAGCGUUGUCCGGAAUUAUUCGGCGUAAAGAGCUUGUAGGCGGUCUGUCGCGUCUGCUGUGAAAAUCCGGGGCUCAACCCCGGACUUGCAGUGGGUACGGGCAGACUAGAGUGUGGUAGGGGAGACUGGAAUUCCUGGUGUAGCGGUGAAAUGCGCAGAUAUCAGGAGGAACACCGAUGGCGAAGGCAGGUCUCUGGGCCACUACUGACGCUGAGAAGCGAAAGCAUGGGGAGCGAACAGG
RNAcentral lists this ribosomal RNA (253 nucleotides) under uncultured bacterium. Its description in RNAcentral is "partial 16S ribosomal RNA". It matches the Rfam family "Bacterial small subunit ribosomal RNA", at positions 524 to 776 of the family's 1533-position model. The record is from RNAcentral.